RNAcentral lists this ribosomal RNA (872 nucleotides) under Escherichia coli. RNAcentral describes it as "partial 23S ribosomal RNA". It matches the Rfam family "Bacterial large subunit ribosomal RNA", at positions 1056 to 1911 of the family's 2925-position model. The record is from RNAcentral. Lineage: Bacteria; Pseudomonadati; Pseudomonadota; Gammaproteobacteria; Enterobacterales; Enterobacteriaceae.
UAGUUAAGUGGGAAACGAUGUGGGAAGGCACAGACAGCUAGGAGGUUGGCUUAGAAGCAGCCACCCUUUAAAGAAAGCGUAAUAGCUCACUAGUCGAGUCGGCCUGCGCGGAAGAUGUAACGGGGCUCAAACUAGGAGCCGAAGCUGCGGAUUUAAUUGUUUCAAUUAAGUGGUAGGGGAGCAUUGUGUAAGCCUGUGAAGGUGUGUUGUAAAGCAUGCUGGAGGUAUCACAAGAGCGAAUGCUGACGUGAGUAACGACAAAACGGGUGAAAAGCCCGUUCGCCGGAAGACCAAGGGUUCCAGUCCAACGUUAAUCGGGGCUGGGUGAGUCGACCCCUAAGGCGAGGCCGAAAGGCGUAGUCGAUGGGAAAUCGGUUAAUAUUCCGAUACUUGUUUAUGAUGCGAUGGAGGGACGGAGAAGGUUAUGCCAGCUUGGCGAUGGUUGUCCAAGUGGAAGGAUGUAGUUAGGUUUAGUAGGCAAAUCCGCUAGACUAUUAAUGAGAUCUGAUAGCAAGCUGUACUUGUACAGCGAAGUGGCAAAUACCCUGCUUCCAGGAAAAGCUUCUAAGCGAUAGUCAUAAAGAAAUCGUACCCUAAACCGACACAGGUGGUCAGGUAGAGAAUACCAAGGCGCUUGAGAGAACUCUGCUGAAGGAACUAGGCAAAAUGGUACCGUAACUUCGGGAGAAGGUACGCUGCCGAUGGUGAGUAGACAUGCUCUACAAAGCUAUUGGCAGUCGCAGAUACCAGGCCGCUGCAACUGUUUAUUAAAAACACAGCACUCUGCAAACACGAAAGUGGACGUAUAGGGUGUGAUGCCUGCCCGGUGCUGGAAGGUUAAUUGAUGGGGUUAGCGUAAGCGAAGCUCUUGA